AGAGAGGAAUCUUAUGGCGUAAUAGUAUCGAACCGUGUCAGGUCUGGAAGGAAGCAGCACUAAGGUAUUUAUUAUGGGUAUAGGAUCUACUUUUUUGGU
Fusobacterium mortiferum ATCC 9817 is the source of this 99-nucleotide non-coding RNA. NCBI's taxonomy places the organism in Bacteria, Fusobacteriati, Fusobacteriota, Fusobacteriia, Fusobacteriales, Fusobacteriaceae. The record is from Rfam.